AUGUUGCAGGAGGAUGGGGGUAUUGAUGAAGAUGUGACCCAUCGAAUCAAAGCCGGAUGGAUGAAGUGGCGCCAAGCUUCUGGCAUUCUCUGUGACAAGAGAGUGCCACAAAAGCUAAAAGGCAAGUUCUACAGGACGGCGGUUCGACCCGCAAUGUUGUAUGGCGCGCAGUGUUGGCCGACUAAAAGGCGACAUGUUCAACAGUUAGGUGUGGCGGAGAUGCGUAUGUUGAGAUGGAUGUGUGGCCACACGAGGAAGGAUCGAGUCCGGAAUGAUGAUAUACGAGAUAGAGUUGGGGUAGCACCAAUUGAGGAGAAGCUUGUCCAACAUCGUUUGAGAUGGUUUGGGCAUAUUCAGCGCAGGCCUCCAGAAGCUCCAGUGCAUAGCGGACGGCUAAAGCGUGCGGAGAAUGUUAAGAGAGGGCGGGGUCGACCGAUUUUGACAUGGGAGGAGUCCGUUAAGAGAGACCUGAAGGAUUGGAGUAUCGACAAAGAGCUAGCUAUGGACAGGGGUGCGUGGAAGCUUGCUAUCCAUGUGCCAGAGCCAUGA
Molecule: ribosomal RNA, 549 nt
Filed under: Triticum aestivum (bread wheat)
Lineage: Eukaryota; Viridiplantae; Streptophyta; Magnoliopsida; Poales; Poaceae
Description: partial small subunit ribosomal RNA
Source: RNAcentral